Molecule: long non-coding RNA, 37 nt
Filed under: Amphimedon queenslandica
Lineage: Eukaryota; Metazoa; Porifera; Demospongiae; Haplosclerida; Niphatidae
Description: uncharacterized LOC109583932
Source: RNAcentral
UUAGAUCUCUUCUUAGCUGAUACACUUCUUGUUGGUG